UCUCCUGGGAACGGGACCUUGUUUUCAUUAUUGUGCAUGCCUCUACUGACCAAUAUUCACUGCAGACUACUCCUGACGGCCCUCUUCGGCUGGAAUCUCCAUGGAACCUGUCAGGGGCGUGGAAGGGGGAGGCCCCGAAGACGAGCCUAGCAGUGGCCUUACAAUGGCUCAGCUCGUCCGCUUCUGAUCACGGCCACAAUCCAAGG
Long non-coding RNA from Rhipicephalus sanguineus (brown dog tick), 206 nucleotides. RefSeq lists it as uncharacterized. Lineage: Eukaryota; Metazoa; Arthropoda; Arachnida; Ixodida; Ixodidae. The transcript has 2 exons. The record is from RefSeq and is a predicted model, not a curated record.